GAUCAUGCUCAGGAUGAACGCUAGCUACAGGCUUAACACAUGCAAGUCGAGGGGCAGCGGGAAGUCAGCUUGCUGACUUUGCCGGCGACCGGCGCACGGGUGAGUAACACGUAUCCAACCUUCCCGUUACUCUGGAAUAGCCUUUCGAAAGAAAGAUUAAUACCGGAUAGUAUCGAGAGAUUGCAUGAUUACCCGAUUAAAGAUUCAUCGGUAACGGAUGGGGAUGCGUUCCAUUAGG
Molecule: ribosomal RNA, 238 nt
Filed under: uncultured bacterium
Lineage: Bacteria
Description: partial 16S ribosomal RNA
Rfam family: Bacterial small subunit ribosomal RNA
Source: RNAcentral